Molecule: long non-coding RNA, 1510 nt
Organism: Carassius auratus (goldfish)
Lineage: Eukaryota; Metazoa; Chordata; Actinopteri; Cypriniformes; Cyprinidae
Exons: 7
Source: RefSeq, a predicted model, not a curated record
GCUGAAAAAAACAAUAGAAACCAUUACAGAAUUUGUAAUGGUUUUAAUGGUUCUUAUUGGAAUUCUAACGGUUUUAAUGGACACUGUAAUGGUCUCUGUGGGUCUCUAUUGGUACUUUGCUUUUUUCUAUUGGUGGCGUGUAUUGUCUAUUGGAUACCAUUAAGGACCAAUAGAACACCUUUAGAAACUUCUAGUGGUAUCUACUGGACACCAGUAGAAACCAUUAUGACUCCAAUAAAUUUAGUGGUUUCUUUGGAAAACUGUAAUGGUCUUAGUGGGUAGGCUACUGCUGAAAAAAAAAUGAACACACAAACAAUAGAAACUAUUACAAAAUUUGUAAUGGUUUUAAUGGUUAUAAUGGGAAUUAUGUUGGUUGUAAUGGUCACAGUAAUGGUCCCUGUGGGUCUCUAUUGGUAAAUUGCUUUUUUCUAUUGGUGGUAUGUAUUGUCUUGGAUUGCCACCAUACGUCAUUUGGAAAGGUUAUUUUUAAUUCAUUUAAUUUUUUUUUUUUUAAAUCAACUCGACUCGUCAUGGCCUUCAAAAUUGACUUGAAAAGUUGGUCUUUGUUUUGUCUGUCGGAUUUGGUCCAAAUUUAGCCCAAAAAUAGAUGUGAAAUAACAGUGAAAUUCUGCGUGACUUCCACGUGCUGUAAUGUGCGCGCGCGCAGAACUGGAGCUGAGGACGUCACCAUGGAAACGAGGCGGCAGCCCAACCGUCAAGCAGCUGAUCGCUGACACUCAAUGUGGUUUCACUUUUUUUUUUUAGAAAUGGUUUAGCGUCGUCAGAAAAAGUCCGUUAGCAUCUCAAAGAAGUGCCAGAAAAAAACCUCUAUGACGCAGGAGAAGUUCCUGAUUUUAACAUUUCUGAAGGGAGCUGCUGACAGAGAGGAUGAAAACAUACACAUUUUGAUGUCCACGCUGUAGGAGCAUUACUAAAUAAUGCUUAUGUUCCUAGGUUCUUCCAUGCUGAUGGCUGUGCUCUAGAGUCAUAUCUCCUGUCGAAGAACAUUUUUAGACAUUAUGAACCAUGAAUAAGUUUAGCUCCAACCCCAGUUAAGCAGACCUGAGCAGCUGAUCAAGGAUCAGCAGAAACUCUGCAGAACGGUGGUCCUCCAGCCCAGGACUGGACACCAGUGUUAGUGUCUGUCUCAGAAGCUGAAGAAAAAAGGCCACACCUUAUAGGAAAUAAACGCCUCCUAAGUGUAUGGAAAUACCUGGCUGAGGAGAUCAGUGACAUAAACCAGAUAAAACUGUCAGUGGUCUGAGACAGCUACAAGCCACAAAAACAGUUCAUAGUUCCUGCAUUUCUAUAAUGCAUUAAUGAAUAACAAUAAUUAAAAUAAAAUGUAAUGUCAAGGUUUUGUGUUAAUUCCAGCUAUGUUGAGUAUUCUGUGAAUAAUUUUGAUUUUAGGUGCAUAUUCUUAAUUCUUUGCAAAACAACCUGAACUGUUUGCUAUUGAAAGGUUGGUAUGAAGUUUAAAUAAAUAAAAACAUUAUAUUCUUGACAAAAC